CUGCCCAGAAGCGGGGGAUAACACCUGGAAACAGAUGCUAAUACCGCAUAACAACUUGGACCGCAUGGUCCGAGCUUGAAAGAUGGCUUCGGCUAUCACUUUUGGAUGGUCCCGCGGCGUAUUAGCUAGAUGGUGGGGUAACGGCUCACCAUGGCAAUGAUACGUAGCCGACCUGAGAGGGUAAUCGGCCACAUUGGGACUGAGACACGGCCCAAACUCCUACGGGAGGCAGCAGUAGGGAAUCUUCCACAAUGGACGAAAGUCUGAUGGAGCAACGCCGCGUGAGUGAAGAAGGGUUUCGGCUUGUAAAACUCUGUUGUUAAAGAAGAACAUAUCUGAGAGUAACUGUUCAGGUAUUGACGGUAUUUAACCAGAAAGCCACGGCUAACUACGUGCCAGCAGCCGCGGUAAUACGUAGGUGGCAAGCGUUGUCCGGAUUUAUUGGGCGUAAAGCGAGCGCAGGCGGUUUUUUAAGUCUGAUGUGAAAGCCUUCGGCUCAAUCCGAAGAAGUGCAUCGGAAACUGGGAAACUUGAGUGCAGAAGAGG
This 546-nucleotide ribosomal RNA is filed under the name uncultured bacterium. RNAcentral's name for it is "bacterial SSU rRNA". It matches the Rfam family "Bacterial small subunit ribosomal RNA", at positions 126 to 657 of the family's 1533-position model. The record is from RNAcentral.